RNAcentral lists this ribosomal RNA (369 nucleotides) under uncultured bacterium. RNAcentral's name for it is "bacterial SSU rRNA". It matches the Rfam family "Bacterial small subunit ribosomal RNA", at positions 525 to 896 of the family's 1533-position model. The record is from RNAcentral.
ACGUAGGAGGCAAGCGUUGUCCGGAUUUACUGGGUGUAAAGGGUCCGCAGGCGGGCCUGUAAGUUAGUGGUGAAAUCCUCCAGCUCAACUGGAGAUCGGCCUCUGAUACUGCAGGUCUUGAAUCAAGGAGAGGGGGACGGAAUUCCAGGUGUAGCGGUGAAAUGCUUAGAUAUCUGGAAGAACACCGGUGGCGAAGGCUGUUCCCUGGCCUUAGAUUGACGCUCAUGGACGAAAGCGUGGGGAUCAAACAGGAUUAGAUACCCUGGUAGUCCACGCUGUAAACGAUGGAUACUCGGUGUCGGGUCGCAAGAUUCGGUGCCUAAGCAAACGCAGUAAGUAUCCCACCUGGGGAGUACGAUCGCAAGGUUG